CUGCUCUAUGAUUUCUUUAAAUGGCAGCCUUAGCGUGAUGGCGUAAAAGUAGCGUAAGUGAUUUGUUUUUUUAAUGAUUUCGUGUAUGAAUGGAGUUUUUAGUGAUUUUUUUGUUUUUUUUUUAUUUGAAAUUAUUUUUUUUUUUAAAAAUUAUUUUUUAGGAUAUUACAAAGAUAAGUCUUCGGAAAUUUUUUUUUAUUUUGUUGAUUUGAUUUUUGCAUUUUAAUUUUUUCUUGGGGAUGGAUUUUAUAAAAUUUUUUAUUACUAUUUUUAUUAUUUUAAAUUACUCCGGAGUUAACAGGGCUGUAGACACAUAAUUAGAAUUUUAUAUUAGUGUGCUGCGCUACAUCGAUGUUGUAUAUUUUUUAUAAAGGGGGAGAGAAUUUUUUUGGUUUGAGACUGUUCUUCUUGUAUAAAAAUUAAACUUGAUAUUAGUUUAGUUCGUCGUGAGACAGAGCGGUUUAUCUUGUGUAUCUUUUGUAUUUAUUGGGAUUAGUACGAAAGGAAAA
Molecule: non-coding RNA, 509 nt
Organism: Cercopithifilaria johnstoni
Lineage: Eukaryota; Metazoa; Nematoda; Chromadorea; Rhabditida; Onchocercidae
Source: the annotation of a GenBank genome assembly